UCACAUUGUAUUAGGUAUUAUAAGUAAUCUAGAGAUGAUUUAAGGCUUACAGAAAGAAGUGCAGAGGUUGUAUGUAAACACCAUGCCAUUUUAUAUAAGAAAAUUGAGCAUCUGUCAAUUUUGGUAUCCGUGAGGGUCCUGGAAGCAAUCCCCUACGGAUACAGAGGGACCAGUGUAAUGGGUAGAGACCAGGCUGGCUGCUAAAUAUUCUAGAAUGCACAAGACAAAGAAUUAUCUGGCUCAAAAUAUCAACAGUGACAAGGCUGAGAAACCCUCGUAUAGAUUAAACCAAGCUGGAGUCUGCAUGCUAGCAAGGAGUGUCAUGGUGUCUUCUCCCUUCUCCAAAUAAUGUAAAAUAACUUUUAUUAUGUACCAUGUUCUUUUCUUAAACUUUUUUUUUUUACUUAUUCCCCUAUUCCAUACAAUUAUAUUAUAAUAGAAAUAAAAGAUCUUUGCCUUUAAAGUUAGAGUAGAAGCAGGACCUGGCAUAGGCUUCUACCAAAGGCUUUCUUUUUUUUGCAAUCUGAAUUUUUCCCUUUCUCUAUGCAUGAUCUUCUGAGAUAGUCUACACAGAUGUCUUAUGUGGCCUUAUACCUUAGACAAAUGAAAAAUUCUUCCUUUUGGGAAGGCAAAUUUGCUUCUAUAACUUUUUCUCCUCUGCUUUUGUGAGUAUGAGAGAGUUUCUCUACUACAAGACUGUAGGAUAAAAGUUGGUAUAACAAAAAUAAAGAUUGAAAAGAUAAAAUGACAACCAAAAAACAAUGACAAAAUUGGAAUUCAGGAAUAAUCUUCACUUUGGCAAUAUGGCUAAAUAUAACUUGGGUUAGGGAUCUCUUGGGUUAGGAAUCUUUUUGUGUGAUAUAUUAUUUUGAAUUUAUAGAGCAUUGGUUUUUAACAAGUUUUUAUCAUUUUUAACAGGUUUUUAUCAUUUAAAAGGUGACUAGGGCAAUGGGAUUACCUCUGAUAUCAGAGAGUUGGCAAUCAUGUAACCCUGAAAGUCAUGGCACAAUAUGGCAGAACAAGCACGUCUGGGGCCUGGGAGUCCUGAGGUACUCUAGUAAUUGUGGUUUUCCUCAUACUCUCUGGAUCUGGGGUGACCCAGAACACAGUCAUAAUUCUUGAACUGUUUGCAAGUGCAAACCUUGAGAUCUUCCCAAGCCAGUCACCCAGUCGAUAAUCAGCUCAAGAUCAUCCCUAUACCCCGAGUAGAAUUAGUUGUCAAUAUUUAGGGCACAAAAUUCAUUUUGGUGAGAUGCCCUAGGCCAUUGACACUAGUCAUAUAAUAAUCUAAUGUGUUUGCUGCAAUGACACAUUGCAGCCCUAUGUCCUCUGAGUUCUGGCUCUAAUGUGGUAUUUCUUUACACUAGCUUUCUCAAUAAUAUGAACAGCCUGCCUAUGAACUGAAAUGUGAAGUAUGAUACCCACUAUUAUAUAUCUUUCCUUACUGCAAGUCCAACUAAUGGUUAUUAAUAUGAACAACUUACCUCCUGCUUGCUUUCAGCUCCCGAAUUUUUAUUGUCUGUACUUUUCCUGUAGUGAAGUAGUUUCAUAGCUCAGCAAAGCCUCAGAAUUUUUUAUGAACAGUCUCUAAAAGGCAGCUAGAUCUAGCUCUAAGACAUCAAGCAAAUGACCCAGGACUUGUUAUUUUUCUUGUUGGUUUCUGCGUAGCUAAGGCAAAGGCUUUUUCUUGGCCUCCACUCAGCAAUAUGCAAAAAGCUGAAGCUUUUAAAGUGGGAGAAGAAACAGAAGGAACAGAGGAGGUAAGCUUUUGUUUCACAAAGAAAUUCCAGCAAGUUACCUAGGGAUACAUUAUUAAUCAACUUCACCUGUUGAUAGUACAGGUUGGUUUAUUGAUAUUCAUUAUGCUUGUUGGUAAAAAUAAAGGGGGAGGGGGAAGGGGAUUGAAUAACGUCAGUUGUCUUACAGUCGUUCUCUGUUUCUACUUUUUGUUUGGAAACUUUAGUACAGUACAUGGCUGUUUCAGUAAUUGUGGUAUGAAAAACAUCUGUGGAGGACAGUUUAACGUGUUUGUCUCUGCAAAGCCCCAUAGCAAAUAACAUGUACAUCAUCAACUCUCUAAUAACUCUUACAGGAGGCCUCUAACUACUGAGCACACAUCAGGGGAAUGAUGUAUGAUUUAAUACCUUGAAAUAGAAAAACAAAAAAAAGGAAGAAAUUCGACCUGCUGGGAGUUUCUCAUUAAAUAUCCAGAGCGCCAGUGACUGCUGUUUCCUAGUUUAGUCAGGAACGUCUUUGUUAAGCAUGUGCUUUGAGUGUUUAACAUUCUGUUCUGCCAGUGAUACCUAAAAAACCCACACUGCAAUCUAAUUUCCCAUAUCUUGUCACUUAUUUCCAAAAUGUGGACAGAGACUCUUGGUGAUCAGAUCUACUCUUUAUUACCAAAAGUCUCAAUUAUAUUAAAUUGCCUCUCUAAAGAUUUUAGGAUCUGGGACAGAACUAGGUACAUAAUUUGCCAGGCACAGUGACAAAUGACAAUAAGGAAUCCUUAUGCAAAGCUUUCAGACGUUUUGAGAUGGCAACAGUAGAGCAUUAAACCAAGUAUGGAGUCCUCCAUGACUGCACAGGUUGCAAACCUGCAAAGCAUGUCUAGGAAGCUGGCAUACCCACAACAGACAACACAUAUCCAGGAAGGCCACUUGGAAAUCAGAAAAGUUAUUCCACACAAGGAAAACCCCAUAAAUAUAAUAUUAUAGUAUUCUUUAUAGUUAUCAAACUUCUGAUGGUAUUUCUCUUUGUGUAUUCAAAAAAUGCUUGAAAAGACCAAUUUCUACCAUUUUUUGUAAUUCUAUGAAGGCAUACUUAAACUAAAUUGUACAUAUUUAAAGCAUAAAACUUAGCAGUUUUCAAUAUAUGAACAUGCCCCCCACCCCCACCGCCCACAAAUAAGACAUCACCAUAACACAUAUUUCUGUUAUCCCAAAAGGUUUCUUCAUGUCCUUUUGUAGUCCAUUCUCUAACCUCUCUCCACCUUGUCUCCAGGUAACAACUAAUAGGCUUUCCUCGGUUUGAAUUUUCUAAAAGCAUAGAAUAUUUACAUUUGCCUGGCUCUUCUCACUCAGCAUGGCUUUGAAGUUCAUUCAUAUUGCCACAUUUAUCAAAAGUUCAUCUCUUUUUGUUGCUAAUCAGCAUUCCCUUGGAUAAACUGUUUAUCCAUCACAUGUUCAUGGACAGUCAGGUUGUUUCCAGUGUUUGGUUGUUACAUGUAAAGCUAUUAGAAAUACCCAUUCUUGGCUGGGCACGGUGGCCUGUAAUCCCAGCACUUUGGGAGGCCGAGGUGGGUGGAUCACGAGGUCAGGAGAUCGAAACCAUCCUGGCUAACACGGUGAAACCCCGUCUCUACCAAAUAUACAAAAAAUUAGCCAGGCGCGGUGGUGGACACCUGUAAUCCCAGCUACUCGAGAGGCUGAGGCAGGAGAAUGGCAUGAACCUGGGAGGCGGAGCUUGCAGUGAGCCGAGAUCGUGCCACUGCACUCCAGCCUAGGUGACGGAGACUCCGUCUCAAAAAAAAAAAAAAAAAAAAAAGAAAUACCCAUUCUUGUGUGAAGUACGUUUCUUUUUUAUUUUCUUGGGUAAAUACCUAGGAGUGGAAUGGCUGGGUUAUCUAGCAAUUAUAUGUUUAAAUUUUGAAAAAAGUCCCUAAUUGUGUGUCAAAUUGAUUAUUGCAUUUUACAUUCUUACCAGCACUGUCUGAGGGUGCUAGAUAGUUCCAUAUACUCAGAAACACUUGUCUGGUCAGAAAAGACGAACUCAUGCAAUAUUUAAUUAUCUUCUAGUAUUAUCUUGAAUUUAUUUGGAGAAAAUUUUCACUUUUACUUCCAAAAUAUUAUUAUGAACAUUUUCAGACACAAAAGUUGAAAAAUUGUACCACGAACCCCCAUAUAUAUAUAUAUGGGUCUAGUCAUCACUAAAUUUUAAAGGAUAAAGGUUAUACACACACACACACACACACACACACACACAAACACAGACAUACAACAAAGAAUAACAUAGAUCGCAGGUACAAAUUGUCACUCCAUAACAAUUAUUUUCUUCUAGGAAUUUUCACUUACAUCUGAUUUUUUAUUAGAUUAAUCAAAUUAAAUCUAGAAAGGAAUUUAUAUAUCAUAUAGUUCUCAACAUCCUCAUUUUCUUUAUUAUACACAUAAGGAAACUGUGGCCAAAUUAAAAUGAUUCGCUCAAGGCAUCAGAAAAAAAUUAAGAAGUGAACUAGAUUUUGUGAUUUCUAGAUCAAAUUUCUGUGCACAAAUCUAUAUUUCCUCAUAUAAUUAACAAUGAUUUAUAUUUUAAAUGAACAUUACACAUUCUUACUACUGAAUUGUAAAAUUACUUUGAAGUUUUUUUACGUGCCUACAAUUCUGUAUUAUAUACAAAAUCAUGCACUUUUAAUAUUGGAAAGAACCUUACUAUCAUAUAAAUUCUAGUUCAACCCUCAGGUCCAUUUAAAAUCUGUCUCUAAAGUGAGUAAAUCAGUGCUUUGAAAUAACGUUUAAUGUAAUUCAGUUAUUUGGAUUUUAUGUAUUUGGAGGGAAACUUCGAGUUUGUAAUUCUGUUUUUUGCUCUCCUUUUGUCUCCUUGUGCCCAUUUUGGGGACACAUCUUCAUGUCACAAACUCCAUCAGGGAAAUUUUCAAGUGAAGAAACAGGAAGUGGAACUCAGAGAAGUCCAAUUUUAUUUGUUAAUAAGUAGGAGGUUGAAAGCAAUGGUUAAAAUUGGAUUUUUAAACUAUCAGUAGAUGUAAUUUAUUCCAUCAUGCUGGUUCCCUAUUUGCCUUCUCUUUAUUGCAGGUAAUUGAGAAUUAGUCACAUUUGUUAUUUUUAGCACUGCCUGAUUUUGUCUGGAAAUGGAAGUGAAACUAUAAAAACAGAACAAAACCCGCACAAAGAAGACUCUCAGGAAAUGCUGGCUGAAUGACAGAAUGAACAUUGAUAAAUGAAGACUUCUUCAAAUAACUGAUGCUAGACAUCUCUAAAUAUAUCAGAAAUAACAUGUGACCAUGACAUCAUUCAUCAUUUUUCCAUCAAAACAUUUGAAAAUAACUUGGAUUCAUUUAUUAGAGCUUUAUUUUCCCACAUCUUGCAGUACCCUAGAGUUCUACAGUAAUUAACCUUAUGCUGAAUGGCAGAGGACAUGCACUAAGCUCCUAUUUAAAAUCUAUUCAUGAUGCAUUUUAAAUAUUCAGUAGAGACUUCUUAAACAUGCAGCCAUAGUCUAUUGAAAAUGGAUUUCCUAAAGCCAGGAGAUUGGAUAUUAAUAUCUGGCAUUCGUAUAAAGACAGGUUUUUGUUAACCUAUUAUAAAAAGGACUGAUGAUGUGAUUAUAUACUGUUUACUAGCUCACUUAUAUUUCUGUGCUAAUAAUUACUGUAACCCAUUUGUUUAGUUUUUUUAUUUUAUUUUCA
Homo sapiens (human) is the source of this 5419-nucleotide long non-coding RNA. RefSeq lists it as uncharacterized. The record is from RefSeq and is a predicted model, not a curated record. The transcript is spliced from 3 exons. NCBI's taxonomy places the organism in Eukaryota, Metazoa, Chordata, Mammalia, Primates, Hominidae.